RNAcentral lists this ribosomal RNA (504 nucleotides) under uncultured bacterium. RNAcentral describes it as "bacterial SSU rRNA". It matches the Rfam family "Bacterial small subunit ribosomal RNA", at positions 29 to 531 of the family's 1533-position model. The record is from RNAcentral.
AUUGAACGCUGGCGGCAUGCCUUACACAUGCAAGUCGAACGGUAACGCGGGGCAACCUGGCGACGAGUGGCGAACGGGUGAGUAAUGUAUCGGAACGUGCCCAGUAGUGGGGGAUAGCCCGGCGAAAGCCGGAUUAAUACCGCAUGAGACCUGAGGGUGAAAGCGGGGGAUCGCAAGACCUCGCGCUAUUGGAGCGGCCGAUAUCAGAUUAGGUAGUUGGUGGGGUAAAAGCCUACCAAGCCGACGAUCUGUAGCUGGUCUGAGAGGACGACCAGCCACACUGGGACUGAGACACGGCCCAGACUCCUACGGGAGGCAGCAGUGGGGAAUUUUGGACAAUGGCGCAAGCCUGAUCCAGCCAUGCCGCGUGCGGGAAGAAGGCCUUCGGGUUGUAAACCGCUUUUGUCAGGGAAGAAUCUUCUGAGCUAAUACCUCGGGAGGAUGACGGUACCUGAAGAAUAAGCACCGGCUAACUACGUGCCAGCAGCCGCGGUAAAAUCUACG